This 306-nucleotide unclassified non-coding RNA is filed under the name plant metagenome. Its description in RNAcentral is "partial contains 5.8S ribosomal RNA, internal transcribed spacer 2, and large subunit ribosomal RNA". The stretch from base 1 to 105 matches the Rfam family "5.8S ribosomal RNA", at positions 50 to 154 of the family's 154-position model. The record is from RNAcentral.
GAAAUGUGAUAAGUAAUGUGAAUUGCAGAAUUCAGUGAAUCAUCGAAUCUUUGAACGCACACUGCGCCCGCCAGUAUUCUGGCGGGCAUGCCUGUCCGAGCGUCAUUUCAACCAUCAAGCCCCCGGGCUUGUGUUGGGGACCUGCGGCUGCCCGCAGGCCCUGAAAACCAGUGGCGGGCUCGCUGUCACACCGAGCGUAGUAGCAAUCACCUCGCUCAGGGCGUGCUGCGGGUUCCGGCCGUUAAACAGCCUUACAAAACCCAAGGUUGACCUCGGAUCAGGUAGGAAGACCCGCUGAACUUAAGC